UCCAGACUCCUACGGGAGGCAGCAGUGGGGAAUAUUGCACAAUGGGCGAAAGCCUGAUGCAGCAACGCCGCGUGAAGGAAGAAGGCCUUCGGGUCGUAAACUUCUGUCCUUGGGGAAGAAGAACUGACGGUACCCAAGGAGGAAGCCCCGGCUAACUACGUGCCAGCAGCCGCGGUAAUACGGAGGAUGCGAGCGUUAUCCGGAUUUAUUGGGUUUAAAGGGUGCGCAGGCGGAGGUGCAAGUCAGCGGUCAAAUUGCGGGGCUCAACCCCGUACUGCCGUUGAAACUGCAUCCCUUGAGUGCGCGAGAAGUAUGCGGAAUGCGUGGUGUAGCGGUGAAAUGCAUAGAUAUCACGCAGAACUCCGAUUGCGAAGGCAGCAUACCGGCGCGCAACUGACGCUCAUGCACGAAAGCGUGGGUAUCGAACAGGAUUAGAUACCCUAGUA
RNAcentral lists this ribosomal RNA (446 nucleotides) under uncultured bacterium. RNAcentral's name for it is "bacterial SSU rRNA". It matches the Rfam family "Bacterial small subunit ribosomal RNA", at positions 330 to 792 of the family's 1533-position model. The record is from RNAcentral.